This 497-nucleotide ribosomal RNA is filed under the name uncultured bacterium. Its description in RNAcentral is "partial 16S ribosomal RNA". It matches the Rfam family "Bacterial small subunit ribosomal RNA", at positions 28 to 507 of the family's 1533-position model. The record is from RNAcentral.
GAUGAACGCUGGCGGCGUGCCUAAUACAUGCAAGUCGAGCGAACAGACGAGGAGCUUGCUCCUCUGACGUUAGCGGCGGACGGGUGAGUAACACGUGGAUAACCUACCUAUAAGACUGGGAUAACUUCGGGAAACCGGAGCUAAUACCGGAUAAUAUAUUGAACCGCAUGGUUCAAUAGUGAAAGACGGUUUUGCUGUCACUUAUAGAUGGAUCCGCGUCGCAUUAGCUAGUUGGUAAGGUAACGGCUUACCAAGGCAACGAUGCGUAGCCGACCUGAGAGGGUGAUCGGCCACACUGGAACUGAGACACGGUCCAGACUCCUACGGGAGGCAGCAGUAGGGAAUCUUCCGCAAUGGGCGAAAGCUUGACGGAGCAACGCCGCGUGAGUGAUGAAGGUCUUCGGAUCGUAAAACUCUGUUAUUAGGGAAGAACAAAUGUGUAAGUAACUAUGCACGUCUUGACGGUACCUAAUCAGAAAGACACGGCUAACUACGUG